RNAcentral lists this transfer RNA (69 nucleotides) under Divia briandi. RNAcentral describes it as "tRNA-Leu". It matches the Rfam family "tRNA". Rfam says of the family: Transfer RNA (tRNA) molecules are approximately 80 nucleotides in length. Their secondary structure includes four short double-helical elements and three loops (D, anti-codon, and T loops). Further hydrogen bonds mediate the characteristic L-shaped molecular structure. tRNAs have two regions of fundamental functional importance: the anti-codon, which is responsible for specific mRNA codon recognition, and the 3' end, to which the tRNAs corresponding amino acid is attached (by aminoacyl-tRNA synthetases). tRNAs cope with the degeneracy of the genetic code in two manners: having more than one tRNA (with a specific anti-codon) for a particular amino acid; and 'wobble' base-pairing, i.e. permitting non-standard base-pairing at the 3rd anti-codon position. Lineage: Eukaryota; Metazoa; Mollusca; Gastropoda; Cycloneritida; Phenacolepadidae. The record is from RNAcentral.
AUUAAGGUGGCAGAAAUAAGUGCAUUAGGUUUAAGCCCUAAAUAUGAAGAAUAACUUCUUUCCUUAAUA